UUACUGGCUCAGAGCUUCAGGAAAUUGCUCAAGGAUGUGCAAAUACUAAACAGUAGAGCUGGGAUUUAGAUCCACAUCUACUUAAUUUUAGUGCGUAUGCUCUAACUGCUGCCACAGAAGGGAUGCAGAGGAAGACGGAAAGUGCCUGCAAUAUGGUAAGUUCUUCAGUGAUAUUAAGCCAUUUAACCCAAGCCAGCAAUGGAGUUGAAGAAGGGGUGACUCCUGCAGAGCAUCUGACAAUCAGAGAAGAGUUAGAAUACAUUAAGCUCAGCAUCACAUAUGUAGUUUAAAUACAACUCCACCUGCUUCUCUUUCUUUCUCUUCUUUUCUGCCUUUGUUGCCCUACCCAGGAUUAAAACCUUAGGUCUUAUGUUAAAAGAAUGACAAGAGAACUGUAGCAUUCUCUGCCUCUUGGGCAUCUGCAAGAGAUGGGAUAUUAGAGGGACACUGGGGGAUGCUUGGAUGAUCACCUCCACCCCUCCACCCACUAUGGCCUCAACAUGAAGUUGGCCUUCUUGAAGUGGGUGAAUCACUACAGCCCUUGUUCAGGAAGUGUGUUUGAAACCAGGCUUUUAAGGAAGAGAGGAGACGACAUUUCUUGGGACCUUCCUGCCAACCUGACCCUUCUGGUUGGCACCACCCAGAGCUUCAUUACUUAGGCCUGAAGCCCAGCCAUUGUGAUAAGGCACCAUCAAUCAUCAUGUCCCUUUACCAGGAGGGCCCGUGUCAUAAGCCACUAUGUAAAGGGAAUGAUGGAUGGACUGCUUUGGACAAAUGGACCUGGGGUAGGAGAGAGGGACAACAGUAGGAGCAGGCAGAUCUUGCUGUUUCAACCAAAACCUCAUGCUGACCAGAGUUGAGGAACAGAAGAUGGUGAAGGCCUGCAGGUAUAGGUGUUCAGCAUGUCAUCUGAAAUAUUCCCCACAGAGGCAAAAAGAAAGGAAAUUAUCUCUGAAAAGGAAUGGGAAGACAAGUCAGCAGAAUAUGUCAAUGUUUUGGUUGAAGAAGCUGCUUGAAUCUGGGCUUUUCUGUGCCAUGUGUUCUCCCAUGGCCAGCACAAAGAAGGGCUUUUGGUGCAGGCCCAAGACCACCAUAAUCAUCAUUGAUUAUUCCUCUCCACGCCAGUGUCUCUAAAUAAACUUCCUCUUCUUUCUCUGGCAAA
Long non-coding RNA from Gorilla gorilla gorilla (western lowland gorilla), 1162 nucleotides. RefSeq lists it as uncharacterized. The record is from RefSeq and is a predicted model, not a curated record. Lineage: Eukaryota; Metazoa; Chordata; Mammalia; Primates; Hominidae. The transcript has 5 exons.